Molecule: ribosomal RNA, 305 nt
Filed under: uncultured bacterium
Lineage: Bacteria
Description: bacterial SSU rRNA
Rfam family: Bacterial small subunit ribosomal RNA
Source: RNAcentral
GCCUACGGGGCACAGCAGUAGGGAAUCUUCCACAAUGGGCGAAAGCCUGAUGGAGCAACGCCGCGUGGGUGAAGAAGUAUUUCGGUAUGUAAAGCUCUAUCAGCAGGGAAGAAAAAAGACGGUACCUGACUAAGAAGCCCCGGCUAACUACGUGCCAGCAGCCGCGGUAAUACGUAGGGGGCAAGCGUUAUCCGGAUUUACUGGGUGUAAAGGGAGCGUAGACGGCAAUACAAGUCGGAAGUGAAAUACCCGGGCUCAACCUGGGAACUGCUUUGGAAACUGUAUGGCUGGAGUGCUGGAGAGGG